This 843-nucleotide ribosomal RNA is filed under the name Campylobacter jejuni. RNAcentral describes it as "partial 23S ribosomal RNA". It matches the Rfam family "Bacterial large subunit ribosomal RNA", at positions 347 to 1188 of the family's 2925-position model. The record is from RNAcentral. Lineage: Bacteria; Pseudomonadati; Campylobacterota; Epsilonproteobacteria; Campylobacterales; Campylobacteraceae.
AAGUAUAACCAUAGAGGGUGAUAGUCCCGUAUGCGAAAAACAAACCUUAGCUAGCAGUAUCCUGAGUAGGGCGGGACACGAGGAAUCCUGUCUGAAUCCGGGUCGACCACGAUCCAACCCUAAAUACUAAUACCAGAUCGAUAGUGCACAAGUACCGUGAGGGAAAGGUGAAAAGAACUGAGGUGAUCAGAGUGAAAUAGAACCUGAAACCAUUUGCUUACAAUCAUUCAGAGCCCUAUGUAGCAAUACAGGGUGAUGGACUGCCUUUUGCAUAAUGAGCCUGCGAGUUGUGGUGUCUGGCAAGGUUAAGCAAACGCGAAGCCGUAGCGAAAGCGAGUCUGAAUAGGGCGCUUAGUCAGAUGCUGCAGACCCGAAACGAAGUGAUCUAUCCAUGAGCAAGUUGAAGCUAGUGUAAGAACUAGUGGAGGACUGAACCCAUAGGCGUUGAAAAGCCCCGGGAUGACUUGUGGAUAGGGGUGAAAGGCCAAUCAAACUUCGUGAUAGCUGGUUCUCUCCGAAAUAUAUUUAGGUAUAGCGUUGUGUCGUAAUAUAAGGGGGUAGAGCACUGAAUGGGCUAGGGCAUACACCAAUGUACCAAACCCUAUCAAACUCCGAAUACCUUAUAUGUAAUCACAGCAGUCAGGCGGCGAGUGAUAAAAUCCGUCGUCAAGAGGGAAACAACCCAGACUACCAGCUAAGGUCCCUAAAUCUUACUUAAGUGGAAAACGAUGUGAAGUUACUUAAACAACCAGGAGGUUGGCUUAGAAGCAGCCAUCCUUUAAAGAAAGCGUAAUAGCUCACUGGUCUAGUGAUUUUGCGCGGAAAAUAUAACGGGGCUAAAGU